GGGUUGUGAGGUUAAGCGACUAAGCGUACACGGUGGAUGCCCUGGCAGUCAGAGGCGAUGAAGGACGUGCUAAUCUGCGAUAAGCGUCGGUAAGGUGAUAUGAACCGUUAUAACCGGCGAUUUCCGAAUGGGGAAACCCAGUGUGUUUCGACACACUAUCAUUAACUGAAUCCAUAGGUUAAUGAGGCGAACCGGGGGAACUGAAACAUCUAAGUACCCCGAGGAAAAGAAAUCAACCGAGAUUCCCCCAGUAGCGGCGAGCGAACGGGGAGCAGCCCAGAGCCUGAAUCAGUGUGUGUGUUAGUGGAAGCGUCUGGAAAGGCGCGCGAUACAGGGUGACAGCCCCGUACACAAAAAUGCACAUGCUGUGAGCUCGAUGAGUAGGGCGGGACACGUGGUAUCCUGUCUGAAUAUGGGGGGACCAUCCUCCAAGGCUAAAUACUCCUGACUGACCGAUAGUGAACCAGUACCGUGAGGGAAAGGCGAAAAGAACCCCGGCGAGGGGAGUGAAAAAGAACCUGAAACCGUGUACGUACAAGCAGUGGGAGCACGCUUCGGCGUGUGACUGCGUACCUUUUGUAUAAUGGGUCAGCGACUUAUAUUCUGUAGCAAGGUUAACCGAAUAGGGGAGCCGAAGGGAAACCGAGUCUUAACUGGGCGUUAAGUUGCAGGGUAUAGACCCGAAACCCGGUGAUCUAGCCAUGGGCAGGUUGAAGGUUGGGUAACACUAACUGGAGGACCGAACCGACUAAUGUUGAAAAAUUAGCGGAUGACUUGUGGCUGGGGGUGAAAGGCCAAUCAAACCGGGAGAUAGCUGGUUCUCCCCGAAAGCUAUUUAGGUAGCGCCUCGUGAAUUCAUCUCCGGGGGUAGAGCACUGUUUCGGCAAGGGGGUCAUCCCGACUUACCAACCCGAUGCAAACUGCGAAUACCGGAGAAUGUUAUCACGGGAGACACACGGCGGGUGCUAACGUCCGUCGUGAAGAGGGAAACAACCCAGACCGCCAGCUAAGGUCCCAAAGUCAUGGUUAAGUGGGAAACGAUGUGGGAAGGCCCAGACAGCCAGGAUGUUGGCUUAGAAGCAGCCAUCAUUUAAAGAAAGCGUAAUAGCUCACUGGUCGAGUCGGCCUGCGCGGAAGAUGUAACGGGGCUAAACCAUGCACCGAAGCUGCGGCAGCGACACUGUGUGUUGUUGGGUAGGGGAGCGUUCUGUAAGCCUGUGAAGGUGUACUGUGAGGUAUGCUGGAGGUAUCAGAAGUGCGAAUGCUGACAUAAGUAACGAUAAAGCGGGUGAAAAGCCCGCUCGCCGGAAGACCAAGGGUUCCUGUCCAACGUUAAUCGGGGCAGGGUGAGUCGACCCCUAAGGCGAGGCCGAAAGGCGUAGUCGAUGGGAAACAGGUUAAUAUUCCUGUACUUGGUGUUACUGCGAAGGGGGGACGGAGAAGGCUAUGUUGGCCGGGCGACGGUUGUCCCGGUUUAAGCGUGUAGGCUGGUUUUCCAGGCAAAUCCGGAAAAUCAAGGCUGAGGCGUGAUGACGAGGCACUACGGUGCUGAAGCAACAAAUGCCCUGCUUCCAGGAAAAGCCUCUAAGCAUCAGGUAACAUCAAAUCGUACCCCAAACCGACACAGGUGGUCAGGUAGAGAAUACCAAGGCGCUUGAGAGAACUCGGGUGAAGGAACUAGGCAAAAUGGUGCCGUAACUUCGGGAGAAGGCACGCUGAUAUGUAGGUGAAGUCCCUCGCGGAUGGAGCUGAAAUCAGUCGAAGAUACCAGCUGGCUGCAACUGUUUAUUAAAAACACAGCACUGUGCAAACACGAAAGUGGACGUAUACGGUGUGACGCCUGCCCGGUGCCGGAAGGUUAAUUGAUGGGGUCAGCGCAAGCGAAGCUCUUGAUCGAAGCCCCGGUAAACGGCGGCCGUAACUAUAACGGUCCUAAGGUAGCGAAAUUCCUUGUCGGGUAAGUUCCGACCUGCACGAAUGGCGUAAUGAUGGCCAGGCUGUCUCCACCCGAGACUCAGUGAAAUUGAACUCGCUGUGAAGAUGCAGUGUACCCGCGGCAAGACGGAAAGACCCCGUGAACCUUUACUAUAGCUUGACACUGAACAUUGAGCCUUGAUGUGUAGGAUAGGUGGGAGGCUUAGAAGUGUGGACGCCAGUCUGCAUGGAGCCGACCUUGAAAUACCACCCUUUAAUGUUUGAUGUUCUAACGUGGACCCGUGAUCCGGGUUGCGGACAGUGUCUGGUGGGUAGUUUGACUGGGGCGGUCUCCUCCUAAAGAGUAACGGAGGAGCACGAAGGUUGGCUAAUCCUGGUCGGACAUCAGGAGGUUAGUGCAAUGGCAUAAGCCAGCUUGACUGCGAGCGUGACGGCGCGAGCAGGUGCGAAAGCAGGUCAUAGUGAUCCGGUGGUUCUGAAUGGAAGGGCCAUCGCUCAACGGAUAAAAGGUACUCCGGGGAUAACAGGCUGAUACCGCCCAAGAGUUCAUAUCGACGGCGGUGUUUGGCACCUCGAUGUCGGCUCAUCACAUCCUGGGGCUGAAGUAGGUCCCAAGGGUAUGGCUGUUCGCCAUUUAAAGUGGUACGCGAGCUGGGUUUAGAACGUCGUGAGACAGUUCGGUCCCUAUCUGCCGUGGGCGCUGGAGAACUGAGGGGGGCUGCUCCUAGUACGAGAGGACCGGAGUGGACGCAUCACUGGUGUUCGGGUUGUCAUGCCAAUGGCACUGCCCGGUAGCUAAAUGCGGAAGAGAUAAGUGCUGAAAGCAUCUAAGCACGAAACUUGCCCCGAGAUGAGUUCUCCCUGACUCCUUGAGAGUCCUGAAGGAACGUUGAAGACGACGACGUUGAUAGGCCGGGUGUGUAAGCGCAGCGAUGCGUUGAGCUAACCGGUACUAAUGAACCGUGAGGCUUAACCUUACAACGCCGAAGCUGUU
This 2929-nucleotide ribosomal RNA is filed under the name Escherichia coli. RNAcentral's name for it is "23S ribosomal RNA". It matches the Rfam family "Bacterial large subunit ribosomal RNA". Lineage: Bacteria; Pseudomonadati; Pseudomonadota; Gammaproteobacteria; Enterobacterales; Enterobacteriaceae. The record is from RNAcentral.